RNAcentral lists this ribosomal RNA (409 nucleotides) under uncultured Nitrososphaerota archaeon. RNAcentral describes it as "bacterial SSU rRNA". It matches the Rfam family "Archaeal small subunit ribosomal RNA", at positions 452 to 861 of the family's 1478-position model. The record is from RNAcentral. Lineage: Archaea; Thermoproteati; Nitrososphaerota.
CUGGUGUCAGCCGCCGCGGUAAUACCAGCACCCCGAGUUGUCGGGACGAUUAUUGGGCCUAAAGCAUCCGUAGCCUGUUCUACAAGUCCUCCGUUAAAUCCACCUGCUCAACAGAUGGGCUGCGGGGGAUACUACAGAGCUAGGAGGCGGGAGAGGCAAACGGUACUCAGUGGGUAGGGGUAAAAUCCAUUGAUCUACUGAAGACCACCAGUGGCGAAGGCGGUUUGCCAGAACGCGCUCGACGGUGAGGGAUGAAAGCUGGGGGAGCAAACCGGAUUAGAUACCCGGGUAGUCCCAGCUGUAAACGAUGCAGACUCGGUGAUGGGUUGGCUUCGAGCCAACCCAGUGCCGCAGGGAAGCCGUUAAGUCUGCCGCCUGGGGAGUACGGUCGCAAGACUGAAACUUAAAG